AGUGCUCUUAACUAUACAGGAGUUGUGAAGAUUUUAAAGAAAUAUGACAAACUCAGUGGGGAGCUUCUUCGAUUGCCUUUCAUCCAAAAGGUGCUUGCGGAGCCAUUCUUCGAAACUGAGGUUCUAAAUAAACUAGUGAAGGAGUGUGAUACACUUCUUAGUCACCUAUUAUACCAAACUGAGCCACUCAAAGUAGCAGGAGGAGGUGGAGGUGGUGGCGGAGAAAGGCCAGUCAAAGUUCCUCAAGAACUUGCAGAGAUCAAGAAUAUGGAGAACAUGUACUUGAGACUUACCUAUUCAGCACUCAGAGUCUUGCAGGAGAUGCGCAGCGGAAGUUCAACUGUCAGCAUCUUCUCUUUGCCACCAAUGAAGACCAACGCCCUCGACAAUGUAUGGAAAAACGCUCCAGUGGUCAUACAAGAAGCAAAGUAGGGGGUUACUCAUGCCUCUUGAUAUACUGUUUUAUUCCCUCUUGCCAAGAAGUACCGAGUGCAGUUGCUGUUCAUGUAUAGCUUUAGAUUUCUGAUAAAUAUAUAUAUACAUACACACAUGUUACCGUUUGUAAUCCAUUGUUUUUGACUCAACGAAUUUUAAGUUAAG
RNAcentral lists this unclassified non-coding RNA (600 nucleotides) under Hevea brasiliensis (rubber tree). Lineage: Eukaryota; Viridiplantae; Streptophyta; Magnoliopsida; Malpighiales; Euphorbiaceae. The record is from RNAcentral.